AUGAACGCUAGCUACAGGCUUAACACAUGCAAGUCGAGGGGCAGCAUGGUCUUAGCUUGCUAAGGCCGAUGGCGACCGGCGCACGGGUGAGUAACACGUAUCCAACCUGCCGUCUACUCUUGGACAGCCUUCUGAAAGGAAGAUUAAUACAAGAUGGCAUCAUGAGUCCGCAUGUUCACAUGAUUAAAGGUAUUCCGGUAGACGAUGGGGAUGCGUCCCAUUAGAUAGUAGGCGGGGUAACGGCCCACCUAGUCUUCGAUGGAUAGGGGUUCUGAGAGGAAGGUCCCCCACAUUGGAACUGAGACACGGUCCAAACUCCUACGGGAGGCAGCAGUGAGGAAUAUUGGUCAAUGGACGAGAGUCUGAGCCAGCCAAGUAGCGUGCAGGAUGACGGCCCUAUGGGUUGUAAACUGCUUUUAUAAGGGAAUAAAGUGGGAGUCGUGACUCUUUUUGCAUGUACCUUAUGAAUAAGGACCGGCUAAUUCCGUG
This 489-nucleotide ribosomal RNA is filed under the name uncultured bacterium. RNAcentral's name for it is "bacterial SSU rRNA". It matches the Rfam family "Bacterial small subunit ribosomal RNA", at positions 29 to 507 of the family's 1533-position model. The record is from RNAcentral.